CCUGGUAGCAAUGGCGGAGGGGCCACACCCGUUCCCAUCCCGAAUACGGAAGUUAAGCCCUCCAGCGCCGAUGGUACUGGGGCACAAGCCCCGGGAGAGUAGGUCGCUGCCAGGA
RNAcentral lists this ribosomal RNA (115 nucleotides) under Bacillota bacterium. Lineage: Bacteria; Bacillati; Bacillota. The record is from RNAcentral.